AUUGAACGCUGGCGGCAUGCCUUACACAUGCAAGUCGAACGGCAGCACGGGAGCAAUCCUGGUGGCGAGUGGCGAACGGGUGAGUAAUAUAUCGGAACGUGCCCAGUCGUGGGGAUAACGUAGCGAAAGCUACGCUAAUACCGCAUACGAUCUAUGGAUGAAAGCGGGGGAUCGCAAGACCUCGCGCGAUUGGAGCGGCCGAUAUCAGAUUAGGUAGUUGGUGAGGUAAAGGCUCACCAAGCCGACGAUCUGUAGCUGGUCUGAGAGGGCGACCAGCCACACUGGGACUGAGACACGGCCCAGACUCCUACGGGAGGCAGCAGUGGGGAAUUUUGGACAAUGGGCGCAAGCCUGAUCCAGCAAUGCCGCGUGCAGGAUGAAGGCCUCGGUUGUAACGUAGUACUUUUGUUACGGUAACGUAAACGGGUACGG
RNAcentral lists this ribosomal RNA (432 nucleotides) under uncultured bacterium. Its description in RNAcentral is "bacterial SSU rRNA". It matches the Rfam family "Bacterial small subunit ribosomal RNA", at positions 30 to 462 of the family's 1533-position model. The record is from RNAcentral.